Molecule: ribosomal RNA, 197 nt
Filed under: uncultured Desulfuromonas sp.
Lineage: Bacteria; Pseudomonadati; Thermodesulfobacteriota; Desulfuromonadia; Desulfuromonadales; Desulfuromonadaceae
Description: partial 16S ribosomal RNA
Rfam family: Bacterial small subunit ribosomal RNA
Source: RNAcentral
CAGCAGCCGCGAAUACGAGGGUGCAAGCGUUGUUCGGAAUUACUGGGCGUAAAGCGCAUGCAGGUGGCUGAGUAAGUCGAAUGUGUGAGCCCCGGGCUCAACUCGGGAAAUGCAUCCGAAACUGCUCAGCUAGAGUCCCGGAGGGGAGGGCAGAAUUCGCAAUGUAGGGGUGAAAUCCGUAGAUAUUGAUAGGAAUA